AGAAUGGUCAGAAUAAGAAGCAGGCUAAAAAUCUCUGUAGACUUCAAAAAAAAACUGAGGACUUGCAGACCCAGGUAGUCUGAAUAGUGCAUGGGGCUACUUCAGGGCAGAUGGAUUGGCUGAAAGUUGUUCACAAAGCAGUUACACUCUCUGAUCUUCAUCCCCACACAUUGAUUUUCUGGACUCAGUGACACCAGGUAUAAUGGAGUAACCUGCCAAUGACCCCAUCCCAAAUUCUAAAGGCAACAUGCUUUAUCCAUUAACACAGAAUUUUCAGUCAGAUUUUUGGUGUGUUAUGUGUGAUUAUGAACAGAUAGCCAAGAAUCACAUUUGAGGAAGCCCUCCAAUAUGAAACGUAGAGAUCAAAAUGAAUAGAAAAGAAUUGAGCACAGAAAAAACCAUAAAAUAGUAUAGAAAAAAACUUUAAAAAUACUGUUCAUCCAGAGAAAAGACAAUUCAUCCACAAAACAAGAAGGACAAUUAGAGAACAGUAAAAUAUUCUUGGAAAUUAUCAAAUAAAGAAAACAUGAAUAUACUCUAGAGAAGAAUGACAUGUGCUCUGGAUUAAAAGAGCCUACCAAAUGCCCACCACAAUGAAUAAGAAAUAAAUAAACCAAAACCCACAACUAGAAAUAUCAGAACUUUAAAAUAUCAGGGCCAAAAAGAAGAUCCUAGGAGCUUCUCAAAUAGGGUAGGGUGGGUAUGAAACCAUGCAUAUACAUAAAAAUGAAAAGCAAAAUGACAGAAGAAACUGAAGCCCUCAGUCCUGUAACUGUAAGGAACUGAAUACUUCCAAUAAACGGUGUGAGCUCAGAAGUCAAUUCUUCCCCAGUUGAGCCUCAGAGAAGACUGAAACCUUUGAAGACAUUUUGAGUACAGCCUUGAUUGCAGACUUAUAACCCACAGAAACUAUGUUGUUUUAAGCUGAUAACUUUAUGGUAUUGUUACAAAGCAACAGAUAACAAAUAUACAAGUGGCAAGAUUAUUCACUUGUAAGGGUAGAAUGAAAGUAUUUUCCGACAUAUUAGACCUAAACAAUCUUAGCUGAGAUUUCAACUUUCCAGAGCUCUAUCAAAAAUAGAUUGCAUUCAAGAGAAUCUAAGGCUUGACAGAGUAAUGAAUGAUAAAAAUUGAAAAAAAAAAUUGGGCUUGCAUGUGGUAAUUAUGGUGGGAGCAUUUUGUUGUGAGCAGCAUCACACAUCUGUAGAAGAACCAUACAAUCUAGUUUUUGAUAACAUUGUACAAUCCAGGGCACUGUACUUUGCAAACAGUACACAAAUAGGCGGGGGAGAAAAUUAGUGAAAUAGAAGUAUAAGAAACUCAAAACACCCUGGUGCAGACUGCAUUUGUAGUCAGAUUUGUUCAUAUAACUAACCCUACCAUGAGCAAUGGUAUCUUCAGCUGCAAAGAAGGGCAUGUGGGUAUUUGUAUAAAUUUCACUUGCCCCACUGUACCCCAAUUUCAAAGGGCCUAAUAAUGCUUUUUUUGUACAAUAUGAAUUGAGUGAUAUAGUUCCCUGACAUAGUGGUUUUAACACUCUCUCCACUCUAAUUACAGUUUUUUCCCCCACUUGGAGGCCUUCUCACUUACUGUGCCCUUGGUUUUGAGCAGAUAUUUUCAUGAGUUAUGCCCUCACAUUACUCAGCUUUGCUUAAGUAUCACACUUUGGGAAGCUUUUCCUUGUUGCGAUGCCUCAAGUACUAGUCCUUUGCCCUGAUUUACUUUUCUUUAAUGCGCUUAUUAUUAUUUAUUAAUUUUACACACCUCCCCCAAACAGACUGUAAGCUCUUUGAGGGAGAGAUGUCUUUAUUCAUUGCUCUAUCCCGAGACCCACGUAGGUAGUGAGCAAUUAAUAUUUAACUAAAUGAAUUAAAUUUCAAAGCCAAACUUUCACAUUUCUUAGUAAAGAAUGAGAUAUAGUAAGACAAUAAUCUAAACUGGAUUUCAUUCUAUACUAUUUAAAUAUCUUCUAAACGUGCACAUUUUCUUCAAAGAAUUAAAUGCAAGGAAGUUAUAGACAGAUCCACUUCUAAGGAAAUUCAAGAUAAUUAGAAUAGAGUACCUACUCUUCAUUCUCUCCACAAUUACAAAUUUAUAUCACUGUAACAUCAAAUACACUACCCCAACCCUCUCAUCUUAAUAAUCACAAAACAUGAAGAUAAAGGCAGGGGUAAAGAUUGGUAUAAUGUUAUUUGGUUUUUGAGAUUCUGGGUAUUAUUUACUCUAAAAGUGAUGUUUUCCUUAAUGUAUUGGAAUGUUAGUCAGAAUGGAAGUGAACAUUUACCCCUUUUUGACCACUACACUUAUUUGAAACAAAAGCAUUGCACUGUCAAGAAAAAGAAAAUCCCAAGGCCCCCAGCUGACUGAACGAACCAUCGUCUUGGCCGAGAGGACCACAGAGAAACCAUGAAAAUUGAGUUACUAGCCAUGAUGAGAUGUGAGUGAUGUGUAUUACUGACGUCCAAAAAGUGAAAUGACCUACUGAAAUUCACGUUUUGUGGCUGAACUUGUGCUGGAAACUGGCUCUGUAGACUCUGAUUUUUACUGCAACAUGCUGUAUCCCCUUUCCAAAAGAUGGUAACAAUGAAAAUAGCUCCAAAGCUGUAAAGCUUUUCUGGAUAAGAGUCAAGGAUAACCUCAUGACUAAAUGAAUAUUUUUGAAUAUUUUUGAUCCAUGACUGGUUGAAUGCAUGGAUAAAGAACCCACAGAUGUGGAGGACCACAUGUACUGAGUCUUACAUGCUUUACUAAGUACUCUCAGGACUCUGGUGACAAUGAGAGAAUUUUUAGCAGUUGUACAUUAAGUAAGGAUGAUACAGAAGAAAAUACUUCUGUAGGAGACUAAAGAAUGUUCAUUUGUAAAGCCACCUUUCAAUUUACUUAUAUUUUGGAAAACAAAUAAUGAAUAGAAUUAGUUAUAACACUUCUAACAGGCAUUAGCAAUCACAUUUGAUGCCAUUCAGGUCUGUGUUCAAAUGCUGAACUUAACACUAUUAGCUGUGUGACUUUGGAUAUGUUAUAUAACUUCUGUAGCCUCAUUUACUCAUCUGAAAAUGGGAUAAUAAAUUUCUACCUCAAGGGUUGUAGAGGAAGAUUAAAAUCAUAAAAGUAAGUUUCUGGCACAGAGAAUAUAUUCAGUUUUUGCUCAUUAGUACAGAAUGCAAAUAUGCUUAACUUCUGAAUAUUAACAAUGCACUCAUAUAUAAUAUAUCAAUAAUCACUAAUAAAGAAUAAAUGAAAAUGAUAGUGUUAUAUAAUAAAGUGGCCAAAAAAGGUGUUAAAUGCUGGUUUAAGAGUUGUAGCCUGUGCCAUUUUAUAAUAUGUGUCAUUUUUUGUUUUAUAAAAAUAUAGAAUGUUAGUAAUAAUAUUUCUCAGUGGUGGUUCAUUGCUCCUCAUCAUGUUUAGAGUAGAGAUAUUUAGGUGGAAACUGUAUUUCAUGUAUCAGAGGGUAAUCUAGCAUGUCAGUUACACUUUCUCUAUAAAAGGAACCCUUUUAAUGAAUAACUGUAAUGGAAAUUGUGCUUUAAAAUGUAAAGUUAUUAGAACAUUUGCUGGACAAUCUGCUUUUUAUUAAUAUAAGUUAAAUUUUAUCCAUUUGUGGUGAGCACUUUAUUUGGUCACAUUUUUCUUACAGGAAAGUCUUAUAACUACUUGUAGAGUUAAUGACAAGGCCAAAUUACACACAGAGUUAAGAGAUAGGCAAUAUUUCUAAAAAGACUGCUUUUAUGAAACUGCUAAUAAAUUGAUUCCUAUUUUUCACUAAUGACCUGAAAAACAACCAAAACCUGUCACACUUCAAACAAAACUGAGUUAAUUGCAGUAAUUCUUCUAAUUUAUGUAGAGGAGAUUUCCUUUCAGUUAUCACAUAUCCAUGAUUAAAAUAUGUGCAGAUCCAUUUUGGUAUGUAUAAAAUUUUGUUAGAAAUAUUUACUGGGUAUUAAUUUAAAACUAAGAAAUGCACUAAUUGUAAAAUUUUUAAGGCAGAUUAUGAAGGAUGCAUUAUAUAAAUGGGAAAAUUCUCAGCCCUACUUCUCACUUAAAUAAGCAAUGCAAUUUUUUAUGAAAAUAAUGGGUAAGUUUUAUAGUAUUGUCCUGUAAUCUUCUUCGUAUUAAUUUUUGCUUGCAUAGUGACCACAGUAUUAUUUUAUAAAUAUUAUUGUUUCACGUUUGAUGCUAGUGAAUAUGUGAGUUGAGCUUUAAUAACAAAAACAUUUCUCACCUUUUACAUGUGCCUUUCCUUACAUUCCUGUUUCCAAUAUAACUGAAGUAUAAACUAUAAGAAUAAAAAACAAUGUCGGAUUUGUAGGAUAUAGAGUUAGACUUGCCUGGACCAUUGGGUUGGGGAUGCAGCUGAGGGUCUUUGUAGCAUGACUUGCUACUCAGGGAGGCUCCAUCAUGGGAUUAUAGUGCUUUUUCAAGCUGUCUGAUGAGACUUUUAACUUGCAAUGUCUAGGUAUUGCAGUGCCUUCUUCUCGUCACGGUUGCUAAAAACACACAGCCUUUUGUCAGGCUACAGAAUGUUUUAAUUCCCAAUGCAAAUCUGGGUGACAUGUUUGUUAUGCUAGUGGAUAUACCUGACAGAUCCUAUUCUGAGUUUUCCAGGAAAAAACGCAGGGCAGCACGUUUGUGGGCUAGCGAUCCUUUUAUGUGAGCAUGCCUUUUAGUAAUUGGGGAAACUGUUUCAAACCAGAGUUGAUUUGAUACAAAAAUAAUUUGCAAGUGGUUUUUGUAUAAUUUCUAAUGUAAGAUCAUCUUAACAGAUCUAGUUGUUAGUUAUAAGGAUGGUUUUAUGGUUUGCAUGAAGCAGUAAAUAAUAGUAAAGGCAAAUAAAAAUAAAGCUUUCAUCACACCUUUGCUAACCUUUAGAAAUACAUUCAUUGAAUUUUUGAGUUACUUACACAUAUGUAUACAAAAUGUGUAAAGAAUUAUGGUAUACAUUCACCUACCAUAAAACAGAACAAUUAUGUACACGUUUCUGAAAUCAUAAAUCAUAGGUGUUCAUAAAAGUAUGCUGAAGUGUAUUUAGUAUUCAGUGCAAAAAUAGAUAUUAAGAAAGCUUUCCUUGAGAUUUAAACUCCAUCCUUUAUUUAUAAUGAGAUACAUUGCCUUUAGCCACCAGAACACAGAUUCAAAUUCAGGUCGCUUGCAUGUAAGGUAACCUACCUGAAAUGAAUUUUUGGUCACAAUAUUUAAUAAUGUUAUGGACUUGAUUGUGUAUGCAGUGUCUCUAGGAAAUAAAGUUUCUUGAAUCUAAAAGCAGAUUUUUAGAUCAUAUUACACUAUGUUCUAAAUUCUCCAUUUCUUUUUUUAGAUUACAAGAAAGGAGGCAAGUUAAGCUGGCUUUGAAAAAUUUUAUUAAUUUUACAUGGUACCACUACAAAGAUUUUAAAAUGUUUCUCAACUACAAAAUGUUACUAUUUGCAAGGUUUCCGCAGUAUUCUUAAUUCCUUUUCUAUCUCAUCCUUUAUAUCUUUCACUUGCUUUGUUUCAUUCUUAUAUAAAUGUCUUUAUUUUGAAUUUAUCUUCCCCAAUUUCAUAUUUAUUAUCUGAGACUGUUCUAUAUAAGUAAAUGUAAGCAGAACUAGUAGUAUACAAAACUAGGCAGAAAUAGGUUAGAAUUGAGCAUGUAUGUAUCCUUUUAAUCUUUUCAUUGAACAUGCAGGAAGCAUAUUUAGAGCACUUUAAUCUUAUUUGAAUUAAUUGUUGUGUUGGUUCAAUUAAUAUGUUUGAAUUUCCUUACUCAGGGGCAAAAUUGUGAUAAAGUAUUUAAAUUUCUAUUUGCAGCCCUUACUGUGUGGCGUGCAAAAAGGAGCUUAUCUUGUUUCAAUUUGCAGGCCACCAGAAUCUAUUUUCCUUUUAAUAUAGGUACAAGAAAGACUAAGUACCUUGCCUUACUGCUAUAAGAGAGAACAUUCUUAGACCACAAACAUAUUGAAAGAAGAUGUUGAAUUAACUAGAGAAGUUCUGCUUUAUUUUAAAUAGUUUUACUGCUUAGUGAGCUCUUAAGAUAUGUCAUAUUACACUUUGAGUUAUUUGCUGUUGUGAAGGUUCGGCAACUCAAUGAAGAAAUACAUUUUGGAUUUUUUUCUUUAUUGUUAUAAAGUACCUGCUGGAAGGCUCAGGGAUAUCUAGGUUAAUGUGUUUCUAUUUCAGUACCCAAAAAACAAACGUGAGCUCUUGGAAGGGUUGUGUUCACAUCCCGGCUGACAAUAAUUUCAUAGGAGUUAGCACCUGCUGAAAAGGUGUGGGUUCUGUGGUAGAGCAAGGGGAGUGGAGGGAGAGAGGCUUUAAACAAAAACUUUAACUGUAAAAGAAACAAGUUUUCCUCUGGGAAAUUACUCAGAGUGCAAUACAAGCAUAUUUUUCUAAUUAAAUAGAUUAGUUUAUGCCGUUGGCACUUAAAAGAAAGUCCUUAGAUUCACAGCCUCCUGAGUUAUAAGUAUUUCCCAGGUUAAUUCUCUUGAAAUUAAAUCUGGCCCUGUUUCUUGCCAUUCUAUUCCUUUUUUUUUUUCUUCCUAUUUGCUUUUCUCUUUUCACCUACAGCUCAUUUCCUUCUAUCCCUCUAUGAUCUGUCCACCUUUCUCUUUUCUUUUCUCAACUCUUCUGCCUAUUGAAAUGAGAGCAGCUCCAACAUUGAAUGAGACCAUCUCUGACAUUCCUCUCUUUGUCCUUUGAGUCAGAAUGAAUCACUGCAUAGCCUGUAUCUUCAUAGGACUUAUUUUAUCCUGCUUCAUAUAUACAUUCCUUAACUGUCUGCCUUGAAUUGGUUGCUCACUUGUCCAUCCCUCUGACUGCACUGUGGGCAUCUUGGAGGCAAAGGUGCCAUUUGCCCCCUCCAGCCUCCAAUGUCAGACAUACAGUUUUGCAUAGAGGAGGCACUCAAGGAGGUUGAACUUAAUGCUUGUGGUUAAUGCUUAUCAACAUAUAAAUCCUUAAAAUCUGUGAAGAAUCAUUUUUCUUUUUCUUUUUAAAUUCAGGCUUCCUCUUUUACUUUUGCCUUUUUACAUCUGUCUCCUCAUCUCCUGUUCACUCACUGAGAUACCCCUAAGUGCCACCACAGAGAAGAGUAGAGAGCUGUCUGUGUGUGGAGGGUGUCUCUACACUGCCUGUGCACAGUGUGUGCUACAGACGCACGGGAUUCACUGAUCCCCAGAAGAGAACUGAAGAGAGACCAGGGCUGAGCGAGAAAUUGUAUUGUACUAACAAGCAAUCAUUGGGAAAUCGUUUCAAGACUUUGACAAUAAUUUCCCAGCGGUUGGUUGUCUAGAAAAGGGAAAGAAAAACGGAAAGGAAGAAAUAGUAUUUUUUACUGAAUAUCAAAUAAUUCCAUAUGACAAUGCAAAUCAAGUUUGAAUGCCAGAAGCUUAGAAAUUAAAGCUCACUCAGCCAUUAGUUUGUCUGUCUUGAUCAAGAAGGCGUGGAGAGUUGUUGCCUCGAAAGGAAAUGUAGAAAAGGAAUUUGAAGAAAGGAGGCUUAAAAGAAGAGCAUUUUUCAGUUUGUUCCAAAUGAAAGCCACUGCAAGUCGGUGACACAGAGCUAAUGUAUCACUAAAAUGGGAUAAAGUAAACAAUGUUAGAUCAGACCCUGACAUGUAAUACUGGAGAAAUCAUCUUAUAAAAAGAUUAAAAGAAGGAGGCAUAAAGAUCCUAAAUAGCACGGCUUUAUGAAAUGGAUUACUUAGAAGUGUGGUCUGUGGUUUUAUUUUGCGUGACACGUUGGCAUACAUACUGUACAUAGACAAAACAAAUUGCUUUGAGUAUUGUAACAUGCAUUUCCAAGAGCUCCUGAUUUCGGUAUGUGCUUUACAUAAGUGGUUUCUAUGUUUAUACCUUUACUGAUGGGAACUCAUUUAUAACCUACUGCAACGGACUUUUUGACUGUCUUUUUUGAUGAACUGCUUUUCAGUUCACAUAAUUUUUUUGAGGCUUCUGUGUCAUAAAAGACUUCUUCUAAUGCUGCAUAUUAUAACAGAAAAUUGCACUGAGGAAGAAGGCUGGAGUCAAGGUUAGAUAAAGAAAACCGAAGCCUUUAUAUUUCUUUCUCCUAUAUUUCUUAAAUCAAUUGAAAAUGGUCACUGGUUUACUUUGUAAUAUUGCAAAGUCUGAGUUCAUGGGAAAAUUUACUUAAAAAAGUAAAUGGAAGUUUUCAGCUUCUAAAAAAAUGCAGUUCACUAAAAGAUAUACAUUGGCUAGCGAUUGAGCAGUUGGCAAGAUGUCAAGGCCAACGUCAGAUUCCCAUUUCCAGCAUCAUCUGUCAACCACUUUUUAGGAGUAAUGUAGCCAAAAAGGAGUCAAAUCCCUGCAUCUCUGUCUUACCACCAGGGGCAUGAUUGCUGCUUGGGAAGAAACUGGAGCCCUCCCCUACUACCUAAUGAGCAUCAGGGGCAAGCAUCCCAGCUUUUGCACAGGACCUCAACAUUCUUUUCUCCCACCGCUGAUUUCAUUUAUACCUCUGCUUCAGCUCAUUUCUGGGGUGAGUUUGGUGGCCCUGCGCCAACCUUUCAGUAAAUCUAAGGGACUCAGCUAAAGUGAGAGAAGCUAUAUCAUUAUGAUAGACAUUUUAUUUAUUUUUAAUAGACCAACAUGGCAACAUAAUAUCUUUAUGGAGAUAAACAGUUAUUUGCUUUAUUCAAGCUCCAUAAAUAACACAUUUGCCACCAGGGCUGCCCCAGGUAUCUUGUACACAUCAACUGAAGAGUCCAAAUUCAACUGUCACUUUUUCCCUGAAGCCUCUCUGGGUACUCUGCUUGAUGAGAUUUUCCCUGUACUGAAAGCCUAUUAUAAUGUAUUUGUUUUCUGUAGCACAUAGUUAAUUAUAAAUAACAACAUGUCCUUCAUCCAGAAAUGUGGGGAAAAUCUCAUAGCACUCAGUUGCUUGAUUCCAGAAAAAAAGGUACAUGGUUGUGUAAAAAUCAAUGCAGGACUUACUAUGUGUGCAAUUUAUUGAACACCUACUAUAUACCACACCAUGAGUUAAGUGCUGGGGAUGUAAAAGUGGAUAAUACCUUUAAAGGGCUUACAUUGUAGCAGGGACAACAAUUUUAUAAACAUAACAAUUACCCUCUAUAUAAUAUAGUAUGUUGAGUCGUAACUAUACAAACAUUUCUGUGGUUCUCCAGAAAUGAGUCUGAUUAUUUCUAUCUUGGAUUUAGAAAAUGGUACCUACAGGGAGACUUCUCUGGAGAUUCUUAUUUCUCCAGGCUUGAAGACCGACAAUGAUAUUUAUUGUCAUUAUUUUUAAAUGUAGAUAAGUAAAAGAAAAGGCAUUCAAUGCAUAGACACAUAGGGUGAAACGGCAUAUUGAAUUUAGGAGCUAUAUAGAUUUGUGAAUUACUUGAAUAGAAUUGUAGAAAAUGGCAUUAAUAGUAGAAAAAAAAAACCCACAAAACUAAGAGGUGAAACUAAACAAGCAAGCCAUAGAUACAAUCAUAAGAGGCCUUGCUUAUCCAGGGCACAGCAGAUAAGAAUGAGCAAAGGCUGGAUGCAGUGACUCGUGCCUGUAAUCCCAACAUGUUGGGAGGCACAGACAGGUGGAUCACCUGAGG
Molecule: long non-coding RNA, 9544 nt
Organism: Sapajus apella (tufted capuchin)
Lineage: Eukaryota; Metazoa; Chordata; Mammalia; Primates; Cebidae
Exons: 4
Source: RefSeq, a predicted model, not a curated record